UACGUAGGGUGCAAGCGUUGUCCGGAAUUACUGGGCGUAAAGCGUGCGCAGGCGGUUUGUUAAGUCUGAUGUGAAAGCCCCGGGCUCAACCUGGGAACUGCAUUGGAAACUGGCAAGCUCGAGUAUGGCAGAGGGGGGUGGAAUUCCGCGUGUAGCAGUGAAAUGCGUAGAGAUGCGGAGGAACACCGAUGGCGAAGGCAGCCCCCUGGGCCAAUACUGACGCUCAGGCACGAAAGCGUGGGGAGCAAACAGG
This 253-nucleotide ribosomal RNA is filed under the name uncultured bacterium. Its description in RNAcentral is "partial 16S ribosomal RNA". It matches the Rfam family "Bacterial small subunit ribosomal RNA", at positions 524 to 776 of the family's 1533-position model. The record is from RNAcentral.